CUCCUAUGUUAAUGAUAUGUUUAUUCUUUUAUGCCACAUUUAUAGACAGAUCAAGAUAUCCCAACAUUGUGAUUAUGUCAUCAAAUAUAUUUCAAGUUUUCAGUCAAGAUCUAGAUUGAGUGUUUGCAGGAGUCAUUUUUAUAUUGAAGACAGUUUUCUCCCACCUGAAGUCAAUGGAGCUGAUAAAACUUUCACUUAUUGCUUUGUACCCCAACUCUCCAAUCCACAGUACCUGUCAGUAGUUACCAAGCAACAGUGACAAACGUGUGCCUCCUAUACAUUGGCAUUCACUGCCGUUAUGCUGUAUUGUACGAUAUUGCUGCGUAUGUUUACAAUGUUGGCCGGAAUUUGGAAGCUGGUGAAGUGAUUUCACGUUGUCAGGGGUGCUUGCCAUACACUGAUGAUGGCAAAGGAAAAGAUGCAAGAAAUGUGAGUUAUUAAUGAUGUUGUUGAGCUGCUGGAUAAAGCAAUUUGUGAGACUCAUUAUCUUGGACUCUGUUAUUGAGUGAUAUAGUUUCCUAUUGCUGUUGUAACAAAUUACCACAAAUUCAGUGGUUUAACACAACAAAAACUUAUCAUACAGUUCUGGAAAUCAGAACUCCAAAAU
Molecule: long non-coding RNA, 607 nt
Filed under: Homo sapiens (human)
Lineage: Eukaryota; Metazoa; Chordata; Mammalia; Primates; Hominidae
Description: HSALNT0351473
Source: RNAcentral